AACUGGUUGAGUUGUACCUGGACAGAAAUAAUAGUAUACAGGUAUCUUAGAAUUCAUCUCAAGCAUUAACUGGUUGAGUUGUACCUGAAAUAAUAGUAUACAGGUAUCUUAGAAUUCAUCUCGACCAUUAACUGAUUGAGUUGUACCUGCACAUAAAGAAUGGUAUACAGGUAAAAAGAUUGGAGUGUUCAAAGCAGGCCUCACGCCUGAACAGCAGAGAAUGGAAUAAUGGAAUAGGACCUCGGUGGUAUCGCGUCGGUUUUCGAAACUCAAGUUAAUGAUUAAGGGGGACUGACGGGGGCAUUCAUAUUGCGGUGUGACAGGUGAAAUUCUUGGAUCGCCGCAAGACGACCGACUGCGAAAGCAUUUGCCAAGAAUGUUUUCAUUAAUCAAGAACGAAAGUUAGAGAUUCGAAGGUGAUCAGACACCGCCCUAGUUCUAACCAUAAACGAG
This 453-nucleotide non-coding RNA is filed under the name Strongylocentrotus purpuratus (purple sea urchin). Its description in RNAcentral is "Eukaryotic small subunit ribosomal RNA". It matches the Rfam family "Eukaryotic small subunit ribosomal RNA", at positions 622 to 1040 of the family's 1831-position model. Lineage: Eukaryota; Metazoa; Echinodermata; Echinoidea; Camarodonta; Strongylocentrotidae. The record is from Rfam by way of RNAcentral.